AGCGAACGCUGGCGGCAGGCCUAACACAUGCAAGUCGAACGAACCUUUCGGGGUUAUUGGCGGCCGGGUGAGUAACACGUGGGAACGUUCCCUUAGGGUCGGAAUAACUCAGGGAAACUUGUGCUAAUACCGAAUGUGCCCUACGGGGGAAAGAUUUAUCGCCUUUAGAGCGGCCCGCGUCUGAUUAGCUAGUCGGUUGAGGUAAUGGCACACCAAGGCGACGAUCAGUAGCUGGUCUGUGAGAAGGAGCAGACACAUCGGAACGGAGACACAGCCGAGAAUCCUACGCGAGGGGGCAGAGGGGAACCGUGCGCCAUCGCCGAAAGGAUGACGGAGCCAUGCCGGUUGAAUGAUGAAGGUAGUAGGAAUGUAAAAUUCUUUCAACGAUGCAGAUAAUGACGGUACCCGGAGAAGAAGCCACGGCUAACUUCGUG
Molecule: ribosomal RNA, 434 nt
Filed under: uncultured bacterium
Lineage: Bacteria
Description: partial 16S ribosomal RNA
Rfam family: Bacterial small subunit ribosomal RNA
Source: RNAcentral